Molecule: ribosomal RNA, 301 nt
Filed under: uncultured bacterium
Lineage: Bacteria
Description: partial 16S ribosomal RNA
Rfam family: Bacterial small subunit ribosomal RNA
Source: RNAcentral
CAGCAGCCACGGGAAUACGAAGGGGGCUAGCGUUGUUCGGAUUUACUGGGCGUAAAGGGUGCGUAGGCGGAUUGUUAAGUCAGGGGUGAAAUCCCGAGGCUCAACCUCGGAACUGCCUUUGAUACUGGCGAUCUUGAGUCCGGGAGAGGUGAGUGGAACUGCGAGUGUAGAGGUGAAAUUCGUAGAUAUUCGCAAGAACACCGGUGGCGAAGGCGGCUCACUGGCCCGGAACUGACGCUGAGGCACGAAAGCGUGGGGAGCAAACAGGAUUAGAUACCCCGGUAGUCCCUGUCUCUUAUAA